Long non-coding RNA from Hemicordylus capensis (graceful crag lizard), 548 nucleotides. RefSeq lists it as uncharacterized. The record is from RefSeq and is a predicted model, not a curated record. The transcript is spliced from 3 exons. NCBI's taxonomy places the organism in Eukaryota, Metazoa, Chordata, Lepidosauria, Squamata, Cordylidae.
ACCCAGUUUCUUUAUUUGCAGGGUGAAAACAGAGUUAUUUCUACCUGUCCAUGGUUCUUGAGUAGUUGGAAAUGAUGUCUGAUGUCAUUUCCUGCUGUCCUUUGUUUUUUUGUAAAAUGCUGAGCCAUUUUGUGGCUCUUUUCUGUUUACCCUUUUAAAAAAAAAACCCUUAAAAGGAACAAAAAUCAGAGCAUUUGGAAGUUUUGGGGGCAUUGUUGGAAAGCUGAAGAGCAAGGGUCCCAGCGCUGUACACUGAGCCACUACGGGUUGCACCCUGAGAGUGUCCGCUGAUUGAAAGGAGGCAAGCCCAGAUCAGUGACUCAUAAAGAAAUGCAACAGACAACUUCUGAGAUCAAUCCAGUCUCCUACAUUAUUGCAUACCUGAAUGAUCCAAUCACACUCAGUGCAGAGAAGAGGCAGUAUUACAUAUCCACAAUGGUGACUGGAAGGAGGCAAGACCAGAGAAACGAAUCAUUCAGAGACACAAUGACUCCACUCUGUGGAAGUUUCUCUCUUCAUUUCCAUACAUUGCACUAGCAUUUCUCUCA